UUUAUUUUUUCUUUUUUUUUUUUCUGAUUUUUGCGCUUCACCUCACUCAGGCUUGCACCUUACACCUAGACUUCAGGACCUUUGUGCCUUGGUGCGCCUUUCACCAUUGAUAACUAUGCUUCAAUUCAAUAUCUCAUUAGCUUUAUUCAAAUCUUCAAUCAAAUUGUUUGCUUCAUACAAGCCUUGCUGAUUCACAUCCAUAAUUCGCACUUCGUAAAAAUAUGUCAAAUGUCGUAUCAUCCCCGUAAAGCAGCUUCAUUCUCAGCCUUCUUCUUUGAAAAUGCUCUAAAUCCUUCUUGUAUGUAAGUUUCUCUCUCAUCUUCAAACACAACUUUUGCUAGAAAAGUUGGUUGAUGACUUGGGCCUGAUUGAUCAUAUAUAUAUAUGUGGUUAGGGGCAAAAUCAAAUUUUCAAGCAAUUAUUUGAGAAUAGGUUUCAUUGGUAUUUUCAUAACAAUUUGUUCUUGAUUCUCCAUUUCUCCUAUUGGAUUUUUGCGUAUCCUUCACUUCAGAAAGUUUUCUCACACCCUUUCAACUUCUUAGAGAACCUUCUUAGCUUCUCCUUUCUCUUAAAAGACUCUUCUUGUCUUCCUGGAUACUUCUCUUGUCUUCUUCUCACUCUCGACGGGUUGUCUUCUUGUUUCCAAGUUCGGAGAUUUCAAAUGCAAACAAUACACUCAACAGGUCUUUUCUCAAGCCCGAAGUAAACAAGUAACGGAGAUAUCUUUCUUCACAAGUGUCUUCUUCACUCAAUGCUUAUAACACUAUCUUCCUAUGAUCAAACCUCAACUCUGAUACCACUUUGUUAGCAAUUAUGCUUUGAUAUCACGUUGUUAGUGAGGGGAAGGAUAGACACAAUCCUCAAAGAAUGUCUUGGAAGGGAUAUAACACCACACACCAAAACACUUGUAUUUUUAUAAGAUGUGAAAUUUCCAAUUCUCACUUAAUCUCUCUUGAUCUCUCUUACCUUUCUCACUUGCACAUCACUGUUUUUAUAGUAGAUAAUAUGACUCUUCAAUCCUAAGGACAUGAACCCAUUAAUGAACCAUACUAUUGACAUGCACUCUCUUAUUCACAUAUAUGUAUCAUACUUAAUAACAGUCACUUAAGUAGAAAUCACACUAAUUACUAGAUUAAUGUAUUCUUUAUUUUCUAGAUAUAACAAUUGAGUUUAAUUUUUCAACAUUUGCUUCUUGCUUUCCAUGUGAUUUAGCAAGUAUAUUUCCCAUGACCAUGCUAAUCAAAAAGAAAGAACAAUGAAGCUUUGAUAAGGGAAAGUAGGCUAUAAAUUGAAAAAGGAA
Molecule: unclassified non-coding RNA, 1300 nt
Filed under: Hevea brasiliensis (rubber tree)
Lineage: Eukaryota; Viridiplantae; Streptophyta; Magnoliopsida; Malpighiales; Euphorbiaceae
Source: RNAcentral